RNAcentral lists this transfer RNA (72 nucleotides) under Camelus bactrianus (Bactrian camel). It matches the Rfam family "tRNA". From Rfam's summary of the family: Transfer RNA (tRNA) molecules are approximately 80 nucleotides in length. Their secondary structure includes four short double-helical elements and three loops (D, anti-codon, and T loops). Further hydrogen bonds mediate the characteristic L-shaped molecular structure. tRNAs have two regions of fundamental functional importance: the anti-codon, which is responsible for specific mRNA codon recognition, and the 3' end, to which the tRNAs corresponding amino acid is attached (by aminoacyl-tRNA synthetases). tRNAs cope with the degeneracy of the genetic code in two manners: having more than one tRNA (with a specific anti-codon) for a particular amino acid; and 'wobble' base-pairing, i.e. permitting non-standard base-pairing at the 3rd anti-codon position. The record is from Rfam by way of RNAcentral. RNAcentral also lists the same sequence under 3 other names. Lineage: Eukaryota; Metazoa; Chordata; Mammalia; Artiodactyla; Camelidae.
GAGGGUAUAGCUCAGUGGUAGAGUGCAUGCUUAGCAUACAUGAGGUGAUGGGUUUGAUCCCCAGUACCUCCA